UUCCGGUUGAUCCUGCCAGACCCGACUGCUAUCAGAAUAGGACUAAGCCAUGCGAGUCAACGUAGCAAUACGUGGCAUACGGCUCAGUAACACGUAGUCAACAUGCCCAGGGGACGUGGAUAACCUCGGGAAACUGAGGAUAAACCGCGAUAGACCAUAAUGUCUGGAAUGAUUUAUGGUUCAAAUCUACAUGGCCCCUGGAUUGGACUGCGGCCGAUCAGGCUGUUGGUGAGGUAAUGGCCCACCAAACCUAAAACCGGUACGGGCUCUGAGAGGAGAAGCCCGGAGAUGGGCACUGAGACAAGGGCCCAGGCC
Molecule: ribosomal RNA, 315 nt
Filed under: uncultured archaeon
Lineage: Archaea
Description: bacterial SSU rRNA
Rfam family: Archaeal small subunit ribosomal RNA
Source: RNAcentral